RNAcentral lists this transfer RNA (73 nucleotides) under Candidatus Methanolliviera hydrocarbonicum. RNAcentral describes it as "tRNA-Met". It matches the Rfam family "tRNA". Rfam says of the family: Transfer RNA (tRNA) molecules are approximately 80 nucleotides in length. Their secondary structure includes four short double-helical elements and three loops (D, anti-codon, and T loops). The record is from RNAcentral. Lineage: Archaea; Methanobacteriati; Methanobacteriota; Candidatus Methanoliparia; Candidatus Methanoliparales; Candidatus Methanollivieraceae.
GGGCCCGUAGCUUAGUGGUCGGAGCUCUCGGCUCAUAACCGAGUGGUCGCCGGUUCAAAUCCGGUCGGGCCCA